CCCAGCUCGCGCCGGAUUUGAGGGGGCGGGGUCUUAGGGAGCCCCGCCCAGCGUUUGCGAGGCGGUGCUCAGUUCGAUUCUGAGGUGGCUUAGGGGGCAGAUUUUGUUAACGCCUGCGGAGCAGGGCUGAAGUCAGCUAGGGCGGAUCAAGAUGGUAAUGGGAGUGCCUCAAUCUGGAGAGCAAGUAAUGAGACCCUCCGUCUAUUCCUCGGUCUUUGUCACAGCCUCUCAGGCUGGAAUUUGUUUCUCCAGGUUACAGGUGGCUGACGUAGUAAUUUAACCUCUGCAGCUGAGAGAAGUACAAGCCUCCGGAGAGGUCCAUUUCCUUGGGAACUAUGUACUAGUGCUCAUGAACUAUAGCUUUCUGGAAAUAGUGUUCUGGUUUUUCUACAUCAGAAAAAUGACUUGAUGGUGAAACCUGAGUUUCAGCAAGAAGGUAUGCAAAGAACAUGGUAGAUUACUUGGGGGCAAGUGGCUCACAAUGCGUGUCCCCACAUAGAACU
Long non-coding RNA from Sus scrofa (pig), 503 nucleotides. RefSeq lists it as uncharacterized. The record is from RefSeq and is a predicted model, not a curated record. Lineage: Eukaryota; Metazoa; Chordata; Mammalia; Artiodactyla; Suidae.